Erinaceus europaeus (western European hedgehog) is the source of this 289-nucleotide long non-coding RNA. RefSeq lists it as uncharacterized. The transcript has 2 exons. Lineage: Eukaryota; Metazoa; Chordata; Mammalia; Eulipotyphla; Erinaceidae. The record is from RefSeq and is a predicted model, not a curated record.
GGAGUCGGGCUGUAGCGCAGCGGGUUAAGCGCAGGUGGCACAAAGCACAAAGACCGGCAUAAGGAUCCCGGUUCGAUCCCCGGCUCCCCACCUGCAGGGGAUUGCCUCACAGGCGGUGAAGCAGGUCUGCAGGUGUCUAUCUUUCUCUCCUCCUCUCUUUCUUCCCCUCCUCUCUCCAUUUCUCUCUGUCCUAUCCAACAACGACAACAACAAUAAUAACUACAACAAUAAAACAACAAGGGCAACAAAAGGGAAUAAAUAAAUAAAAAUUAAAUUAAAUUUAAAAAAA